Long non-coding RNA from Sarcophilus harrisii (Tasmanian devil), 2307 nucleotides. RefSeq lists it as uncharacterized. The record is from RefSeq and is a predicted model, not a curated record. The transcript has 3 exons. Lineage: Eukaryota; Metazoa; Chordata; Mammalia; Dasyuromorphia; Dasyuridae.
GAUUAUAUUUAUUUAAGGGAAGGAGUAUUUCUCAUAUCAGUUCAAAUAUUCUUUAAGAGAGAAUGAGAAUUUAUGUCUAAUUGCAAGGGAAAUAUUUGUGAAUUCUGCAUAAUUAGAACACUAAAUUAGAAAUAACUCUUCCUAAAGCCAAUAGUUUCCUGUGUUGGGGGGUGGGUGGGGAAGUUCUCUUCAUUAACAUCACUAUACAGAUAUGCACACUUGAAAAUCUGUGUUAACAAAAAAUACAUAUGCAUAAUUUCUAUUUAGCUCUGCAGUUCUGAUGAAAGAAAAAAAGUAGAACAUAAAAAUUCAAGAGAUGCUUUACUUGAUUGCUUGCAUACAUCAUUCACCUCCUUUACCAGCUUACAUUGUACAAGGCCAUAUAUAGGCAUUUUGUACUAAUGGAACCCCAUAAAUAGUUAUUAGGUACAUAAAAAUGUAAGUAACUGGAGGAGGGGACUUCCAGCUGGGGUCUGGACUUGUCUAAAUGUUGCUUGCUUUUAAAUACUCCAAUGUGUUUACAAUCAUAACAUUGUAAUAUAUAGUAAUCUGGUUCUAUAUAAGUAUAAAUUCUUUUCCAUGAAGUAUUAAUUUGGGUGGUCAGAUGAUCUUAGAUUCAGCUGUGAAAAGGACACCUUAGAAAUCAUUUAAUCUAAUCAUCUUAUUUUCUAGAUAAAGAAGCUGAGGACCUGAAAGGUUAAGUAAUUAUCCAAAGUCACAUAUGCAGAAAUAGCAGAGCCAGUACUGAACACAAGUGCAUUGACUCCAAAGAGACUGUGUUUAUUGAAGUGAAUAUGGGGAAGUACUCAGGGCUGAAAAUAAUUGCCAAUAACUCUUUCAAGAAAGUAGAAACAUCUUGAGGUCUUUCCAAAUGAGGCGCAAGACAAGAUUUCCGGUCCUCUACACAGAAGAAGCCCACUUGGAAUCUGAGAAAAUAUCCAGAGACUUCCUUCAAAAACUCAUGCUUCUACUAAAGACUUUUUUUUUUUUAACAGAUGUAAAUUUGAGGGGGGGAUGUCUUAUACCAUAAGCCAUUUGGGAUUAUUUAGCCUCUAAAGGAUGAACAUACUUGCCAUCUGAAUGGCAGGAAAGCUGGGAGCUUAAACUCAAAACCAAGCUUUUCUGUAACUUUAACCCUGAAUCAUCUUUUCUGUAAAUUAUUUUCUUCCAUUAAGUUUGCAAGAGUUUUAUGAUAAAUAUUCACUCAUAUGAAGCAAAUGACCUCAUCGCUAGCUAGCUAUAAUAUAUAUUCAAAUACUCUUGGCAGAUACCCAAAAAUUGAUUGACACCCAUCUUAACAGUGCUGGAUUUAAUUAAUAUGUCUACCAAUUCCCAAAUGCAUCUCAGGAAACUAAAAAUCUAUUUAAUGCUGAAAGCAAUGACAUACUGUGUGUGGUCAGGAGAGAAUCUCUACUGCCAAGAAUAGAUUUUAAAAUUUAAAAAAGUAUAAAAAUGUCUGUUAAAAAAAAAAGGAAAACAAAAUAAGUGUACCCAUACCAUGUCCUAGAUCAUUAAGAUGAGGUAUGUUUUAAAAAUUAAAAGACAUUUUUAUAGGAGGAAAUCAUGUCCAGACUGUUAAGUCAUUACUCAAAGGGUCUGUUAAUUUUCCCUACAAGAUGCAAAGCUACUCUUGAAUGAUGAACAGUACCCUUAUUCACUUGAACAAUAAUGUCUUUAUUUUUGUGGCCAUUUGCCAUCCUGAAUGUCAAAUCCACAAGGUGAUUCUUUAAUAAUUGAGCUUUAGAGAUGCUCACAACACAAUAUAAAAUAGGUACAGAUGAUCAAGAGAGAUUACUUCCACUAGAACAAAGAAUGUUGAGGGAGAUCAGACUUCUGUUUUACAUAUUCAAAAUAUUCCUAAAAAUCAUAACAAUAAUAAUAAAAAGGAAAAUGAGUUCUGCUUUCUAAUGGAAUAAUAAAAAUAGCCACAAAGCACUCUGUGUAAAAAUGCUAUAUAUCUCAUAACUAAAGAAUCUUGAAGGAAAUCUUCAACAAGAAGAAGGGAAAAAAAGAGAAACAUUCUUCAAGUAUUUAGGUAAAGGGGAAAAUAGCAUAAAACACAUAACAUUAUACACUAGAAAACUUGCAAUGCUGAAAAAUAUCUUGUAAAAUCAAGGCAACAUAUAGUACCAUGGAAAGGGUAAUAUUUGGAAUCAAAAUAUUUGUGUUUAAAUGCUUAUUCUGCCAUUAUGAAAUUAUGCAUGGCAUAAUUUGGGCCUUCAUUUUAUCUUGAAGAAGUUGGAAUCUUUGUUGUGUUUUUCAGCUUUAAGUUAAUGAUUCUACUCCAAAUUCAUAAGAAAUGCUAUG